UACGUAGGCAGCAAGCGUUGUUCGGAGUUACUGGGCGUAAAGGGUGUGUAGGUGGCUUUCUAAGUUUGGUGUGAAAUCUCCCGGCUCAACCGGGAGGGUGCGCUGAAGACUGGGAGGCUAGAGUAUGGGAUGGGAAAGUGGAAUUCCUGGUGUAGCGGUGAAAUGCGUAGAUAUCAGGAGGAACACCUGCGGUGUAGACGGCUUUCUGGACCAUUACUGACACUGAGACACGAAAGCGUGGGUAGCAAACAGG
This 253-nucleotide ribosomal RNA is filed under the name uncultured bacterium. RNAcentral's name for it is "partial 16S ribosomal RNA". It matches the Rfam family "Bacterial small subunit ribosomal RNA", at positions 524 to 776 of the family's 1533-position model. The record is from RNAcentral.